Numida meleagris (helmeted guineafowl) is the source of this 4850-nucleotide long non-coding RNA. RefSeq lists it as uncharacterized. NCBI's taxonomy places the organism in Eukaryota, Metazoa, Chordata, Aves, Galliformes, Numididae. The record is from RefSeq and is a predicted model, not a curated record. The transcript has 2 exons.
UCUUUGCUCUCAGGGCCAUCUCCCUAUGCUUUUCCCCUUUCCCCUUUUCCCGGGGUGUGGGCCCGUGGGUCCCCCAUCCCCUUUGUCACGGAAUCGGACCUAACGCCCGUAAACCGUUGACAGCAGGAUUAAUAUGGGGAUAUAUGGAAAAUAUAACAGAAUGUACUGCUUAACAGAGAAAUUGGCAGAUGUGGAAAGAUAAUGGAACUUUUCCCCUUCUCUCAAAUUGUUUCACAAAAUUAAUUCAGUGCAUUUAUAAAAUUAUUGUUUCAUUUUGUUCAAAAAAUCAGUGGGAAUUAUCCAUUAAUUUUUCUCUGUGUUGUUAUUAGUGUAUAGCUGGAUACCAUGAAUAUUGAGGUGGGUGAUCACAUACAAUUAAGCACGGAAUUCCUCGGUUAAUUUUUGUUGAUUCCAGAGAGUUUGCUUCAUUUUAUACCUAUAAGAAUGCGUGCAAGUUCUUCCCGUGCUCUCAAGUCAGCAUUUUGGCUUUUGCAACGCCAUCUUCACUCCUUUUUAAGGUGUAGAUACCAGGUAACAAUAAGUUGUCCUCACUGGGGCACUGCUGACUUUGUAAAAAAAUAAAUGUAAAUUGCUGGUCUUUUAUCAAGCUAAGAAGCAAGUCUGAGUUCAUUCUAGCAUAAGAUUGACAGAGAUGAUUGUAGUCAAAUACAAUCAUCCAUAAGAAAUAGAGCUAGGCUUUAACACCAAGUUUUCUAAAAUUAGUAAAAAAAUUCCUAGCACAGUCUGCAGUCAAAGAGAAGAUAAAUAAUCUGAAGGCAUUCCAUCAUAGCAGAUCACAUUUAUUAGGCUAUUCUGUAUACGAUAGCUCUCCAGAUGGUUCCUACCAUUACAUUUAAUAGCUAACUUAAAUGUCAGAUAGAAACUUCAAAAUACGCUGAUGAAAUCACUAAAGGCAAUAUGUGGCUUGCUCAUGCACAGAAUAAUUGUUAUUCAGUUGUUGUCAAAUAAUGAAUUUUAAUGGCAAGAAAAGAAAUUUCAAUAAGCAUUACUCAAACAAUAAUUGAAGAUUUAUUAUAUCAUAAAUAGUUAUUUUGUGGGAUGGAUUAUUGCGUUAGUGAGUCUAGCAUUGAAUUAUGAAUUAUGUAAUCGUCAAAAAACUCAUUUGAUUCAUUCUUCAGAACUAUCUGAUCCAAACUUCCUGCAGGCCUCUGUAGAAGACAGAAGUUAAAUUCCUUUCUGUAAGCUAUCGAAACAGAACAAAACAAAGUUCUGAGCUAUUAAACCAACCUUUUGGUACACAUGCAUAGAUAAAAUAAUACAUUUAUUAAAGGGAAAUGUCAAUCGGUGACAUGGAAUCACAAAAUAUGUGAUUCUUUGAUUCAAAUGGAGAUAAGGCUGCCAGAAUACAAAACUACUUUAUGAGCUUAUCCAGAUUUUUCUCCUUGAUCUUCUGUGAAGUGUACUCACUGUACAUUCACUGAAGGAGUACAUAGGAAAAGAAAGGGAGGUAUGAAGAUGGUUUAAGAGAAAUGGCUUUGACCUUGACAAAAACGUACAAAAUAAGAAAAUGGAAUAAAACAUAUACAGUGUAAGUAACUAUACAUUUAUACCAUUCCAAUUUAACUAAAUCAGUGUAAAAGUAUUUUUAAAAGCCCCCCAGAUAACUUUACUCCCAGAAAUAAAUGUAAAAAUUUUUACGAAAAAAGAAUUAACUCCAUCUAUAUUUUCUUUUCUCAGUACUUGUUUGAAGUUGGCCUAACUGUUUGCCUAACAGAUAUUAUCAGCAAUGCUUAAAAUUAGAUGUAGUAUUUUGACGUCUAUUUCCACAGGCUAGAGGCCUAUACAGAAUCUUUUGAGUGCACAGAUGUCAUUUUAGUUCUUAUCAUUUCAGGCUUCUGUCAAAAUGUGUUAUUUUAUAACAAUAAUUCAUUAGAGCAGCAAUACUGAAAUUUGACUUGAUUACUAAUCCAAUACCAAAAUUUACACUGAUACAAAAAAAUAAUUAUUCUAUUUCAGUGGUAAUGCCUGCAUACAAAAUGUCAAAGCCAAAGCAUAAUUUUAUUGGUUCUCUAAAGUAUUUUCUUAACUCUCUCUUGUAGAAUAAAUCAUAUCUUACAUGACAUUAGAAAUUCAAGAUUUGUUUUUUGUUGUUUUUUUUUUUUUUAAUAUUGGUAAGUCCAUGAAGUGUUCAUGUCUAUAAAUGACUACAUGAGCAUGUUACUUUGACUCAAAAUUAAUUUCUAAGAAUUAUGAGAGAAAAAAAAUCCAUAUUAGAACUUUAAAAUCUCAUUUGAUUCUCUUCAUUUUCACAAGCAGUUUUCUUAAUUAAAAGGAUGAAACCCUUCAGUGCAGUGAAAUCUUUUGGAAAAUUGUCUUGAACUUCAGUGAAGUCAGCAUUAUCCAAAGCAAACAAUCAUAACAGAGCAUAAUUUUAAAAAUAUGUCUGAAAGGACAUAAUAAUGGAAAUAUAAUUCAUCUAUAUAUAUCGACCAUUCAAAUAGAAUCCAAACAUCCGGAUUCUCUAAACAUUGUCCAUAUAUGUCAUGAAGUAACUAAUGAGAAUGAGCAUUUUAAGAUGGACCUUCAUACCAGUACACCCAACAUGAACUUUUCUAGUUCAUCUUUUCAACUUUAUUCUGCAUUACAUGAAAUCUGUUUGCAUUCUUAUUUUGGAUAUAAGACAUGUGUUUUGCACUUAGCUAGAUGGAUAUUAAUAAUAUGAUCUCUUAAGUCCUAAAUACCUCUAAUUCUGGCUAAAUGUAAAGAAUAUGAAGAUGAUGAACAUUUAUGAAAAUUAGUCUGAUUUACAUAUCUGUCCAUGAAUUCAGAUACAAAGGAUUGUUCAGACUGAAAAUUCUUCCUGAAUCUCUAUGGGCCGAAGAUAUAAGAAGUGUACAACAAUUUUACUUGCUCAUGUAACAGUCUUCUUAGGUGAAGUAGGAGUGUUUGAAAAUUUGCUAGUAUUAAAAAGCACAUUAAAUAAGAAUGCAAGCAGAAGAUGACAUCUCUGUACAUCAUUUCUGAGACAAAAUCUGUUUUUUCCCACUUUUUCCAGUGAACCUGUAUGAUCCCUUUUUUGUUUCCAACAUUCACGUUCACAUUUAAAUUACAAAAUAAAAAUUAAAAGAUGUAUAAUCUUCCUACUUGCUUUUCCAGUAUCAAACUGAUUAUGUUGCUUUUCCACCUACUUAAGCUCCUGCAUGAAACACAAGUUCUUUCAAUAAAUGUAAGACCAUUUAUUUACUCUACAUCUCUUCUACACUUCCUUAGUAAAUGAAUAAUUCAAUAUCGUCAUAUUAGUAUUCAUGCACAUCCUCAUCAUUUAGUGAUGACAGUAAAUCAAAGCUGAAAACAUGUCUGUUUACAGAGAAAUUAACAUAUUUCAUAUACUGUAUGCAAAUACUAUGCAACUUUUGUUAUUUCUUCUGAAGGCAGUAUGCUCAUUCUUCUGAUACAUUUAAUUACUUCUGUAUCCAAGUUUGACUUGCUGAUGAGAUGUAUUUGUUGUUUUCACUACUGUGCUUCGAGUCUUAUUCCUGUUCAUGAACUUGGCAUACUGAUUCCAAGGUGCAUCAUCUUUAAAAACUCUGUCAUUUUAAGUGUAGUAAGUUAAUACAAAGGGAAAAUAAUAUUACUGGAAGUUGAACAGGUGACAAAAGUUAACAUUUAAACAGAAAUAUUUGCUCUAUUUUUCAUUGAAUCCUAGUUAAAUUAUUGUAAGUUCUUUGUUUUGUGCUUUUUAAUUAAUUUGUCUUCUCCUCAUGCAAGAAGAAAAUGUUCUUUCAUCAGGCAUUUAAUUGAAAACCGACUGUGUAGGACUGAACACUGAAAUAUACUGCUGCAAACUCCAGAACAUCAGCCAGCUCGGUAACAUGCCUCCUCUCCAGGAAAUCCUCUGCAGCCCCUUAGAUACACCUGUGAAAAGGCUUUAUGGCACAUGAGGAAGGUACAGAAAAAAAUAAAAUUAAAUUAACAUAUAUUUAAUAUCUAGUCCUCAGUCUUGUAAUAUGUUACUAAAUAAUAAGUAAAUAGAUUUGCAAUAGACAUAAAAUUCACGAUUCCGUUAGGAGUGUUUGUUUGUAGUUGUAGCACAUGCUAUAGAUCUCAGAAACUGGAGAAUGUCUUGAUUAGAUCUGAAACACUAUAUUGCCUGCCUUUGGAUAAAUUUUUCAUGACUUAUUCAGGAGGGGGUUCAUUUUAUUGUCAGUCAGGCUGGGAUUUGUUCUUUUAUGUUGAACUUCCUGAAGGAGGAUUCAUAGUUGGCAAAUGCACAGCAACUAGUAAAGGUGCUCUUCAGAAACUCAUAUUUGAGCACUAUGUGGUAAUGUUUAUGCACAUGUGAAGAAUAAAUUAUCCCUUAUUAGAAUAAUCUGAUGUCCAUCAGUUUUAAAAAUUGCCUCAACCAGGGCUGAUGCUGCUGUUUUUUCAAAAGCUAUCUUCUUUGUUCUAAACUUAUUCAUUGAUUUAUAAAGCAUAAGACUGCAACAUGACAUCAGAAUAAAACUCUGCAAGUGGCAGUGUGCUCUUGCACUCCAACAAUGAAAGAACCAAGUGAAUCUGAACUGAUUUUUCAUAUACUUGAUAGUAAUAAAAUCAGUAACAGAAAGAUGUUAGCUGUGUGACUUUCUCAGUCUUCAUGUCUUUAAAAAAAUAUAUAAGAAGUUGACAAAGGAGUUAAAAAUUUUCAGGAUCAAAACUCAGAUUCAUUCCUUGCUUUAUCUUUUUCUCAGUGAUCUGCUUGCACGAGAUACUUUCAUUCAUUGGAACAAACCAGCAAGAAAAUAACAGCCUUUUUUUUUUCCUGUUGUGUUCAUCUUGAUUUAAGCACAUGGAGAUUCUAGGUCAAGAAAUAAUAUGAUUGCAAUAUAAAAAUACCUGUACAAAUGAUA